GCCGGCCCUGCACCAAACCGUUGGGGAUAUACUUUUGAGGGGAACGAUCUUUUUGAGUUUGUUGGCAGUCCAUCUCCAAAUAACCAUGAAUUGGAACAAAGUGACACAAACCUACAAGGACGAGUCCGUAAUCAUCCUCUAUUUUUUGCCAUUGCAAUGGGUCUGCUAGCUGAGAUCAUAAACUCCAGGCUUUUCACAACAGUUAGGGACUCUCUUGGAUUGACAUAUGAUGUUUCAUUUGAACUUAACCUCUUUGACCGGUUGAAGCUUGGAUGGUAUGUCAUCUCAGUGACUUCAACUCCUGGAAAGGUGCACAAAGCUGUUGAUGCUUGCAAGAGUGUCCUAAGAGGUUUGCAUAGCAACAGGAUUGUACCGAGGGAAUUGGACCGGGCAAGACGAACGCUGCUUAUGCGACACGAAGCCGAAAUUAAGUCAAAUGCCUAUUGGCUUGGAUUGUUAUCUCAUUUACAAGCGCCUUCUGUACCUAGGAAGGACAUCUCUUGCAUCAAAGAUCUCACUUUGUUGUAUGAAUCUGCCACCAUUGAAGAUGUAUAUGUUGCCUAUGAGCAAUUGAAGAUAGAUGAGAACUCUCUGUACUCAUGUAUUGGUAUUGCUGGGGCUCAGGCUGGAGAAGAUGUUUCUGCCUUGUUAGAAGUGGAAGAAACUGAUGAGGGCCUUCAAGGUGUUAUUCCCAUGGGACGUGGGUCAUCUACUAUGACACGUCCAACUACAUGAGUCAUUAGUGGAAAAAUCGUUGAUCAGUUAAGGUUGUAGGUUAUCAUACUCGCACAUAACGUUUAUGUGACAAGCUACCAGUGUAUCUUACAUGAUUAUUGACGACAUGCGGCUAAGAGAAGGUUUAGUAAAGAUCUUUCAAGGUCUGAAACCUGCAGAAGUCUCAAAACAAUAAGCAAUUGGAGCAACCUUGUAUGAUGGAUUUCUGAAAGAACUACUCUUCAAGGCCAAGCAAAGAUGAUUUGCAUGUACCAACCUGUUGAAUGAUAAAAGUCUACGCAAUUUUUCUUUAUUUUUUUUCCUGGUCAUCACACAGAUCGAGUAGCAGUAUUCGGUAUCACUGUUAUAUUUGAUGUAUAGAUACUAUAGUUGGGUUUUUUUUUUCUUCUUUUUUACCCCCG
RNAcentral lists this unclassified non-coding RNA (1136 nucleotides) under Hevea brasiliensis (rubber tree). The record is from RNAcentral. Lineage: Eukaryota; Viridiplantae; Streptophyta; Magnoliopsida; Malpighiales; Euphorbiaceae.